Molecule: ribosomal RNA, 530 nt
Filed under: uncultured bacterium
Lineage: Bacteria
Description: bacterial SSU rRNA
Rfam family: Bacterial small subunit ribosomal RNA
Source: RNAcentral
AAUAGAUACCCUGGUAGUCCACGCCGUAAACGAUGAGUGCUAAGUGUUAGGGGGUUUCCGCCCCUUAGUGCUGCAGCUAACGCAUUAAGCACUCCGCCUGGGGAGUACGGUCGCAAGACUGAAACUCAAAGGAAUUGACGGGGGCCCGCACAAGCGGUGGAGCAUGUGGUUUAAUUCGAAGCAACGCGAAGAACCUUACCAGGUCUUGACAUCCCAUUGACCGCUAUGGAGACAUAGCUUUCCCUUCGGGGACAGUGGUGACAGGUGGUGCAUGGUUGUCGUCAGCUCAUGUCGUGAGAUGUUGGGUUAAGUCCCGCAACGAGCGCAACCCUUGUUCUUAGUUGCCAUCAUUUAGUUGGGCACUCUAAGGAGACUGCCGGUGACAAACCGGAGGAAGGUGGGGAUGACGUCAAAUCAUCAUGCCCUUAUGACCUGGGCUACACACGUGCUACAAUGGACGGUACAAACGGUUGCCAAACCCGCGAGGGGGAGCUAAUCCGGAUAAAACCGUUCUCAGUUCGGAUUGUAGG